ACAGGGAUUGCCCCAGUAGCGGCGAGUGUAGCGGCAAAAGCUCAGAUUUGGAAUCGCUUCGGCGAGUUGUGAAUUGCAGGUUGGCGCCUCUGCGGCGGCGGCGGUCCAAGUCCCUUGGAACAGGGCGCCAUUGAGGGUGAGAGCCCCGUGGGACCGUUUGCCUAUGCUCUGAGGCCCUUCUGACGAGUCGAGUUGUUUGGGAAUGCAGCUCUAAGCGGGUGGUAAAUUCCAUCUAAGGCUAAAUACUGGCGAGAGACCGAUAGCGAACAAGUACUGUGAAGGAAAGAUGAAAAGCACUUUGAAAAGAGAGUGAAACAGCACGUGAAAUUGUUGAAAGGGAAGGGUAUUGCGCCCGACAUGGAAGCGUGCGCACCGCUGCCCCUCGUGGGCGGCGCUCUGGGCGUGCUCUGGGCCAGCAUCGGUUUUUGCCGCGGGAGAAGGGCGGCGGGCAUGUAGCUCUUCGGAGUGUUAUAGCCUGCCGCCGGCGCCGCGAGCGGGGAACCGAGGACUGCGACUUUUGUCUCGGAUGCUGGCACAACGGCGCAACACCGCCCGUCUUGAAAAACACGGACCA
RNAcentral lists this ribosomal RNA (574 nucleotides) under Pichia fermentans. RNAcentral's name for it is "eukaryotic LSU rRNA". It matches the Rfam family "Eukaryotic large subunit ribosomal RNA", at positions 68 to 668 of the family's 3401-position model. Lineage: Eukaryota; Fungi; Ascomycota; Pichiomycetes; Pichiales; Pichiaceae. The record is from RNAcentral.